UAAAAUCUGUAAAAUAAGAUGAAGUACAUACAGGUUUAUAACUUGCUAUAUGCUCUAUAAGGCUACAUAUAGUUGAUUUUUCAAUAGCAUUUGAAGUGUUGGUCUAGCUGAGCUCUCAGUUACAACUUUGCUCUCCACUUGCCUUCUUUACCUAUGUUUGCAGCAGGAAAUGUGGUCUCUGUUUUCCACUGAUGUACUCAUAAUUUGGAUUUGCUCAGACUUCAACAAACUAACAUUUUCAUCGCUAACAGACUGAAAGUCCUCUAUGACUUUUUUCUCCACCUUUGUUUCUACCACAGAGAAGUCACUGAGAACCAAAUGUGGGAGAAGCAAGAGGAUUUAACUGUCAGGAAAACUUUGUUUCACAACAAAGCUUGGGACCUUCCUGCAGGUAGCAGCUUGCAGCUCUCCUAAACUGGAAGGGCAAGUCUGAACAAAGGAAAGAAAACCAGCUGAGUCACUGGGAAUGAAAGCAGUGACAGCACCACUGCUAUGAUAAGAUUUGAUGUAUCUGAUCAAUCACAGAUUCCCCCCUAGACCAGUACUGAUUCUUCUGCAAUGGUCAAGAUGCAAACUUCUACAAAAGCAUCAAGGGAAUUAUCCCUCCCAUAAAGGAGUUUGUUCUCUGCCACCUCUACUACUAUUUCCCAUUUUCUGUGGUACUGCAUAGUGCCCCUCUUAGGAUAAGACCAAAAGGGAAAGUAAAAAUAAAGGCUGAGAAACAAGAGGAGGAAAGAGAGAAUUAGUAAUUAAUAGGAGAAGAAAGAGAAAUAAUGGAGAUAGGAAAAUCCACUAACGUAAAUGGGCGAGCACAUACAUAAAUAGAAUUAAAAAUAUUAAAUAAUCCACUUGUGAAAUGGCAUCAACUCAGAAAUAAGGGCACAUGAGGUUUAGCUCUGCUUUCAGGUACUGCAGGUACCAGAAACAACUGGGUAUGAGGCAUUCCCAAGUUUUCCCUUCUGUUAUGCUUAUAUUUUCUGGUGGAUUAUGUAUAUGUUCAUAACUUUCUUACCCAAUAACCUCACAGCAGGUGCAGCUUCUGAGAGCACCAAAAUAGACCACAAUGUGUGUUUCUUUACUGCUGCAUCACCUGCAAGGAGCUAAUUGUGGAAAACUUGUCUGAACAGAGAAAAUAGACCUGGUUCUGAUUCCUCCCUUCUGUCCACACACGCUACAAUUUAACUGAAAGCAAAGCUCCAGUGCUUCACAAAAAGAGAACUGUGAAGUUGACAAUGGACCGAAACAUCACUAGCAGGAUGGAAAGAACAAAGACGAUGAGCUCCUGGCGAUUCUCCUGCAGGAUUCCUCUAGUCACAUAGUAUACACAGAACA
Long non-coding RNA from Pezoporus flaviventris, 1332 nucleotides. RefSeq lists it as uncharacterized. NCBI's taxonomy places the organism in Eukaryota, Metazoa, Chordata, Aves, Psittaciformes, Psittacidae. The transcript has 3 exons. The record is from RefSeq and is a predicted model, not a curated record.